This is a long non-coding RNA of Nannospalax galili (Upper Galilee mountains blind mole rat), 1102 nucleotides long. RefSeq lists it as uncharacterized. The record is from RefSeq and is a predicted model, not a curated record. Lineage: Eukaryota; Metazoa; Chordata; Mammalia; Rodentia; Spalacidae. The transcript is spliced from 3 exons.
GACCGUUCCCAGUACCACUGGGGUGUCCAUUGGAGGUGGGGGUUCAGCACAUCAGGACCCCAAAACUCAAUGAUUCAGUCUGCUUUUCAUUCCUCUGAGAUAAGGGGGUUUUCCCACAUGGUCUGACUGCCUGUCCAGCCAUUUAUAUGUGGGGUGACCUGGGAGUCACCAUUUCUCUAAGUUCCGUCUUCUCUACCCUAAUCCGAGGUCCUUGUGUGCCGUCAUCUAUGAGGAAGUCAAAUGUUCAGGUGUGUGAAGACAGGAAAUGAAGCAUGGCCCAGAGCCAGGAAACAUCUGAUUUUCUGCUAAAAACCAAGAAAUAAAUCCCAUGUACACACUCUGGACAGCGCUUACCCUGGGACAUACAUCCUUUGGGAGGUCCGUCCUGACCGCCUUUGGACUGUCUGAGCACAAUACUUCACUAGGAAGGAAUGCAGAGCCCACCAGCAGGAGCGCACACUGCAGUUCUCCUGAUCCUCCAACUGAGGCCUCCCUUGGCUGCCGGGGAAGGAUGACUGGGCCCUCCCGCCCAUCAUGCCUCUGAAGGAUGUGUGGGUCGCCCCGGGGGGCAUCCAUUGCCCAAGUGAGGGUCCCAGAGAUGCAACCUCAUGCUCUCCCUCCUGAUGACCCAAGGGGCACACAGCCGUGCCCCAUUGUGGAUCUGGCAUCUGUAAUCAGGUCAAACCACCACGCUACCCAUUCAUCAGUGAAAUUUCAGCCCAGACUGGAUGGUGGAGGGUGUCUGUCUCCUCCCUGGGUGAGGCCACAGGCGUUUCUUUGUGACUUGGGCUGAGCUUUGGUGCUCUGGAAAGACGGAGGAGGAGGAGGAGGCACACACAUUUGCCUCAUUGCAACGGUGAAGUUCAAAUAUCGGAAGGAGGAAAAUGAAUUUCAGAUGCUAAAAAUAAUCUGUGGGGGCUCUUCAGAUGAAAAGAAGGGACUCUGCAGGACCUCGGAGGCAGCGUUUCCAUCCCUGAUGCCCUUUGAUGGAGGCAGCCAUUGUGGUAUUGAUAUCCCUAAACGGGCCUGUAAUUUCCGGAGAUCUGCAAACACAGCUGUUUCCUGGUUUGGACAGCACAGCUUUAAAAUAUGAAGCUCAGAG